This 433-nucleotide ribosomal RNA is filed under the name uncultured bacterium. RNAcentral's name for it is "partial 16S ribosomal RNA". It matches the Rfam family "Bacterial small subunit ribosomal RNA", at positions 29 to 507 of the family's 1533-position model. The record is from RNAcentral.
AACGAACGCUGGCGGCAUGCCUAACACAUGCAAGUCGAACGAGACCUUCGGGUCUAGUGGCGCACGGGUGCGUAACGCGUGGGAACCUGCCCUUAGGUUCGGAAUAACUCCCCGAAAGGGGUGCUAAUACCGGAUAAUGUCUUCGGACCAAAGAUUUAUCGCCUUUGGAUGGGCCCGCGUUGGAUUAGCUAGUUGGUAGGGUAAAAGCCUACCAAGGCGACGAUCCAUAGCUGGUCUGAGAGGAUGAUCAGCCACACUGGGACUGAGACACGGCCCAGACUCCUACGGGAGGCAGCAGUGGGGAAUAUUGGACAAUGGGCGAAAGCCUGAUCCAGCAAUGCCGCGUGAGUGAUGAAGGCCUUAGGGUUGUAAAGCUCUUUUACCCGGGAUGAUAAUGACAGUACCGGGAGAAUAAGCUCCGACCAACUCCGUG